CUGGAGAGGAGAAGGUUUAAGAUGAAAGACUUUCUUGACUCUCUUAUUCUCAGUCUUACUUUCACACGCAGACACUCGUCUGUGGACACACACUAGUCUCAGCAUCAGACGGGCCUCCCGCAGUCCGUUCUCUGACUAUCUGAUGCAUGUUUCAUAUGAAACUGGAGCACUUUCUCAAUCUAGUAAGCUCUAAUGUGAUUGGCUGACUUUAUUCCAAGAGUGAAGGCCCACAGGGUUUUUCUUCAGUCUGUCUGGAAAAAACGUGUUUACGGAAGAUGAAAUCUUUCAAGGAUGAUAUCGUUCCUGGAUUUGCCAAAGUUUGCAAGGUCCAUUUGUCAUCUUCCCAUAUGAAAAGUGCAGAUGGCAGUGGUCUCCUCCCAUCAGGACUCUGAACACAUACAGUGUAACAGCGUGGUAUUAAAUGGACCUGCCUCGGGGCCUGCGGCCAUCACACUUUUAAGAGCUCUGAGCUUGUGUCAUUAGAUCACAUGAUAUCAGUGCUGAAGAGGAAAUGCCUGUGUGUAAAUACUUCAAUGGAGGGAUUACACAGAAUAUGCACAGUAUUUUUAAUCAUCAUAAGCCUUUCUAAGAAUAGACUCUGUGUUUGAAUGCAGCAGAACAUUACAACAGACUCAGAAAAACAUGCAGAUACAUCUCCCACGAGAUGAUUUUGUUAACAAAUACGUUCAUGAUCAGAUGCGCACAUGCCAUCAAAAAGUGAAGUGUGUAAUUUGUGUACACACAAAAAUGACUGUUUCCCAAGAAAUCCCAAUGUUAUCAGAUAAGAAUCCUCUAAAAUGUUUCUAUAAUAAUAUAUAUUUUAUGAGAAAUGUU
This is a long non-coding RNA of Megalobrama amblycephala (Wuchang bream), 834 nucleotides long. RefSeq lists it as uncharacterized. The record is from RefSeq and is a predicted model, not a curated record. NCBI's taxonomy places the organism in Eukaryota, Metazoa, Chordata, Actinopteri, Cypriniformes, Xenocyprididae. The transcript has 3 exons.